RNAcentral lists this ribosomal RNA (427 nucleotides) under uncultured bacterium. RNAcentral's name for it is "partial 16S ribosomal RNA". It matches the Rfam family "Bacterial small subunit ribosomal RNA", at positions 355 to 774 of the family's 1533-position model. The record is from RNAcentral.
UGGGGAAUAUUGGACAAUGGGCGAAAGCCUGAUCCAGCCAUGCCGCGUGUGUGAAGAAGGUCUUCGGAUUGUAAAGCACUUUAAGUUGGGAGGAAGGGCAGUAAGCUAAUACCUUGCUGUUUUGACGUUACCGACAGAAUAAGCACCGGCCAACUCUGUGCCAGCAGCCGCGGUAAUACAGAGGGUGCAAGCGUUAAUCGGAAUUACUGGGCGUAAAGCGCGCGUAGGUGGUUUGUUAAGUUGGAUGUGAAAGCCCCGGGCUCAACCUGGGAACUGCAUCCAAAACUGGCAAGCUAGAGUACGGAAGAGGGUGGUGGAAUUUCCUGUGUAGCGGUGAAAUGCGUAGAUAUAGGAAGGAACACCAGUGGCGAAGGCGACCACCUGGACUGAUACUGACACUGAGGUGCGAAAGCGUGGGGAGCAAACA